UGAGUAACCUGCCCUUAACUCUGGGAUAAGCCUGGGAAACUGGGUCUAAUACCGGAUAUGACUCCUCAUCGCAUGGGUGGGGGGUGGAAAGCUUUAUUGUGGUUUUGGAUGGACUCGCGGCCUAUCAGCUUGUUGGUGAGGUAAUGGCUCACCAAGGCGACGACGGGUAGCCGGCUGAGAGGGUGACCGGCCACACGUGGGACUGAGACACGGCCCAGACUCCUACGGGAGCAG
RNAcentral lists this ribosomal RNA (234 nucleotides) under uncultured bacterium. RNAcentral describes it as "partial 16S ribosomal RNA". It matches the Rfam family "Bacterial small subunit ribosomal RNA", at positions 118 to 347 of the family's 1533-position model. The record is from RNAcentral.